Molecule: long non-coding RNA, 692 nt
Organism: Hippocampus comes (tiger tail seahorse)
Lineage: Eukaryota; Metazoa; Chordata; Actinopteri; Syngnathiformes; Syngnathidae
Exons: 2
Source: RefSeq, a predicted model, not a curated record
UUGGUACAAUGUCGCAAGGUUGAUUAACAGUGUAAAUUUACUUUCCCCUCAAAGUAACUCAACCAUACGCCGCAACAAAAGUGAGUACACCCCAAAGUGAAAAUGUCAUGUGUGUAUUUUUAGCCAUUUUCCCCUCCCGUUGUUCUGUGACUCUUUAGUUAUACAAGAUCUCAGGUAUAAUAGAUGACAAAAAAAAAUGUGUGGGGUGUACUUUUGUGAGUUCUCCACAUCGCUCAGACUUGGCGUUCUGCCGACCUGACUAAUCUUUUGUGAUGUGUGUCUGCAUGAUAGGUGCUCAUUGUGGCCUGCACGGCAUUCGCCGGCGUGCUGGCAUUGAACUACCAGCGCGAGUAUACCGUGUGGGUCCUUCCCCUCCUCAUCGUUUGCGUGUUUGCCUACAUGGUGGCCCACUGUUUCCUCUCGGUUUUCGAGAACGUGGUGGACGUGCUCUUCCUCUGCUUUGCUGUCGACAGCAAGUACAACGACGGCAGCGCCGGUCGGGAGUACUUCAUGGACAAGACCUUAAUGGAAUAUGUUGAGAAUAGUAAGAAAAGUGGCCGUUACAAGCCAGAGGAUGGAAGUGGACGAGAGAUGAAGCCUAUGGUGAGUUCAGAAAUGUUGUUCAGUUACAUUGCGAGCUGCUACAUGCUUGUGCAAGUUAAUUCAACUGAAUGAAUUCAACUUUUUUUUUU